UAGCAUUGAGUUUCGGUAUUGUCUGUACAGGAUAGGUGGGAGGCUGAGAAGUAGCGUCGCCAGGCGCUAUGGAGCCGCCGUUGGGAUACCACCCUGAUGAUACUGAAGCUCUAACCGGAGGCCAUGAAGCUGGUCACGGGACAUUGUUAGGCGGGCAGUUUGACUGGGGCGGUCGCCUCCUAAAGAGUAACGGAGGCGCCCAAAGGUUCCCUCAGUGCGGUUGGAAAUCGCGCGUAGAGUGCAAAGGCAGAAGGGAGCCUAACUGUGAGACUGACAAGUCGAGCAGUGACGAAAGUCGGGCUUAGUGAUCCGGUGGUACCGAGUGGAAGGGCCAUCGCUCAACGGAUAAAAGCUACCUCGGGGAUAACAGGCUGAUCUCCCCCAAGAGUCCACAUCGACGGGGAGGUUUGGCACCUCGAUGUCGGCUCGUCGCAUCCUGGGGCUGAAGUAGGUCCCAAGGGUUGGGCUGUUCGCCCAUUAAAGCGGCACGCGAGCUGGGUUCAGAACGUCGUGAGACAAUAUAAAAUAUAAUAGCUAGGGUGGGCGGAGGGUUUAUGAU
RNAcentral lists this non-coding RNA (559 nucleotides) under Thermobrachium celere DSM 8682. RNAcentral's name for it is "Bacterial large subunit ribosomal RNA". It matches the Rfam family "Bacterial large subunit ribosomal RNA", at positions 2112 to 2666 of the family's 2925-position model. The record is from Rfam by way of RNAcentral. Lineage: Bacteria; Bacillati; Bacillota; Clostridia; Eubacteriales; Clostridiaceae.